Molecule: long non-coding RNA, 1744 nt
Organism: Balaenoptera acutorostrata (minke whale)
Lineage: Eukaryota; Metazoa; Chordata; Mammalia; Artiodactyla; Balaenopteridae
Exons: 3
Source: RefSeq, a predicted model, not a curated record
UUCAGCGUGGCCGCAAUUCCGAAAAGACUGAAGGUAGAAAACUCUGGAACGGAGGCUGGCGACUGGAGCGGGAUCCAGGGGCUUUAAAAUUUAACCUGAGUUCGAUCGAAUGCGUCUACCAAAGCAGAUAACCCGGCGUCCGCCGUCCACUUAACUGCGACCAGGGCUUCCAAUGCCUUUCUUUUGUUUUUUACGUGAGUUCCGAUCAAAUUUUUACGUAGACUGAGUUUUGCAGAAGCUCCUUUGUAAGCCGUUACAGAAAGGUUGUGGGCAUUUGAUUUCCUUUGAGUCCAACUGUUCUUAAAUAUUUCUGAGGUUUGCUCUCAAAAGCAAAGUUUUCUUUUUAAAAAUUCAUAUCUCAGUGAGGUGAUUUCUAAUGAAAACAAGUUAACAAAUAAAUAAAUCCUUUGGCUGAGUUGGAGUCCGGGUUGUGAACGGCCUCCAAGCCUGAGCCCCGAGGAGACCGAGCCCCCGGGGCGAACCUGAUUCCUGCUGUGUGUGUGUUUCUUAUAUUUGCAAUUACGUGGGUGACCGUGUGAAUUUCCUUGGACAAUAGUUGACCCCCACGGACCGGCUUUUCCCGCCAAUCCGCAGCAGCGGGGACAGGGUGCACUGGCCCCGGCACGGCUGAGACAGAGGUGAGCGGCGGGACGCAGACCAACCCCACAACGUGCGAGUUCUCAGGCUCGAGAAAGGACAAGGCAUUCUACCCUCCAGAUUCCCAAUCAGUUUUGAACAUUGCUUAAAACAAAGGUGGGGGCAGGGAGGUCAUUGUUUGCUCUUUUGCAGGGUCACAAGUUGUUUUCUGGUUUUUUAGACUGGUCUUGUUUCUCUUGUCAGUUAACAGAGAAAUAAAACAAAACUGUUUGACCCGUGGAGUUUAUUCAGACAGAAUGCCAGGUUGCCUGACUGUUCCAGUUUGCAGUUUUCCCAACGCAUCGGCUUUGGCCUUGGGAACAACACCCCCGGGGCCCCGGGGAGCGGCACAUUUUCAAAGCCACCCCCCGGGGACCCGAGGCUCGGCGCUCUGAGCUUCCUCUGAGCGCCCCAGCUGGUCCGGGAAGGCCGGGGGGAUUAGGGGGGGCGCAGAGGAAGAAGUGCACCCCAAGAGCUGGCGAUGGCUCCCACAGUGCUUCAGAACGAUCUAUAAUUAGCUGAAACUCAGAAAAUCAGGAGUCAGUGCAGAUACAUGAAGAUGCCCCAUCAUCUCCAAGCCUUUGUCUGGGUACCUCCACCUUUGGCGGUCCCCAGGUGUUUGGAUAACAAGAACAACAGAAUAAGCAGUAGGGGCGGCUUCCCUGGUGGUGCAGUGGGUAAGAAUCCGCCUGCCAGUGCAGGGGACACGGGUUUGAGCACUGAUCCGAGCAGAUCCCACAUGCCACGGAGCAACUAAGCCUGUGAGCCACAACUAUUGAUCCUGCGCUCUAGAGCCCGCGUGCCACAACUACUGAGCCCACGUGCUGCAACUACUGAGCCUGCACUCUAGGGCCCACGAACCACAACUACUGAAACCUGCACACCUAGAGCCCAUGCUCCACAAGAGAAGCCACCGCAAUGAGAGACCCACUCUCUGCAACCAGAGGAAGCCCGCCCACAGCAACAAAGACCCAACACAGCCAUAAAUAAAUUAAUAAAUUAAUAAACAAACAAAUAAAUAAAUAAAUAAAAGAAAUCAGGGUCAGAUUUUCCAUUAAAAAUGUUGAAAGGAUUUUAUCUGAAUGUUUUAUACAAGUUUGCUAUUUAA